UACGUAGGGGGCAAGCGUUAUCCGGAUUUACUGGGUGUAAAGGGAGCGUAGACGGUGCAGCAAGUCUGAUGUGAAAGGUCGGGGCCCAACCCCGGGACUGCAUUGGAAACUGUUGAACUGGAGUACAGGAGAGGUAAGUGGAAUUCCUAGUGUAGCGGUGAAAUGCGUAGAUAUUAGGAGGAACACCAGUGGCGAAGGCGGCUUACUGGACUGUAACUGACGUUGAGGCUCGAAAGCGUGGGGAGCAA
Molecule: ribosomal RNA, 248 nt
Filed under: uncultured Lachnospiraceae bacterium
Lineage: Bacteria; Bacillati; Bacillota; Clostridia; Lachnospirales; Lachnospiraceae
Description: partial 16S ribosomal RNA
Rfam family: Bacterial small subunit ribosomal RNA
Source: RNAcentral